UGUCGUCAGCUCGUGUCGUGAGAUGUUGGGUUAAGUCCGUAACGAGCGCAACCCUUCGUCCUUAGUUACCAGCACGUUAUGGUGGGCGACUCUAAGGAGGACUGCCGGUCGACAAACCGGAGGAAGGUGGGGAUGACGUCAAGUCAUCAUGGCCCUUACGGCCUGGGCUACACACGUGCUACAAUGGUCGGUACAAAGGGUUGCCAAGCCGCGAGGUGGAGCUAAUCCCAUAAAACCGAUCGUAGUCCGGAUCGCAGUCUGCAACUCGACUGCGUGAAGUCGGAAUCGCUAGUAAUCGUGAAUCAGAAUGUCACGGUGAAUACGUUCCCGGGCCUU
RNAcentral lists this ribosomal RNA (336 nucleotides) under uncultured Pseudomonas sp. RNAcentral describes it as "bacterial SSU rRNA". It matches the Rfam family "Bacterial small subunit ribosomal RNA", at positions 1050 to 1382 of the family's 1533-position model. The record is from RNAcentral. Lineage: Bacteria; Pseudomonadati; Pseudomonadota; Gammaproteobacteria; Pseudomonadales; Pseudomonadaceae.